ACAAACGCUGGCGGCGUGCUUAACACAUGCAAGUCGAACGGAAAGGCCCCUUUGGGGGUACUCGAGUGGCGAACGGGUGAGUAACACGUGAGUAACCUGCCCUUGACUUCGGGAUAACUUCAGGAAACUGGGGCUAAUACCGGAUAGGAAUCCUUGCUGCAUGGUGGGGGUUGGAAAGCUUCGGCGGUUUUGGAUGGACUCGCGGCUUAUCAGCUUGUUGGUGGGGUAGUGGCUUACCAAGGCUUUGACGGGUAGCCGGCCUGAGAGGGCGACCGGCCACAUUGGGACUGAGAUACGGCCCAGACUCCUACGGGAGGCAGCAGGGGGGAAGAUUGCACAAUGGGCGGAAGCCUGAUGCAGCAACGCCGCGUGCGGGAUGACGGCCUUCGGGUUGUAAACCGCUUUCAGCAGGGGCGAAGCUUGUGGUGACGGUACCUGCAGAAGAAGCACCGGCUAACUACGUG
Molecule: ribosomal RNA, 464 nt
Filed under: uncultured bacterium
Lineage: Bacteria
Description: partial 16S ribosomal RNA
Rfam family: Bacterial small subunit ribosomal RNA
Source: RNAcentral